This 529-nucleotide long non-coding RNA is filed under the name Vigna radiata. Its description in RNAcentral is "long non-coding RNA (VRAD_LNC005161)". Lineage: Eukaryota; Viridiplantae; Streptophyta; Magnoliopsida; Fabales; Fabaceae. The record is from RNAcentral.
CGAAUAAUUACGUUCCUGGACCAAACCCUAAGGUCCAACCCUCAUGUAUCAAUCCCAAAUCAUGUGAAAACAUGCUUAAGACAUCAUACAUGCAUUCAAGCAUCACAUACCCUUGUAACAUACUCAAGCACAUACAUCACAACACUUAAAUCAUCCAAACCCAAUCAUACAUGUUAUACCCCAACAAACCCAAACGCACUUCAAAUGAUUAUCACAACACCUUUACAACAUAUAUUUGCAUGGGAAACCCCUAAGCAUCAUAAUUUUGUUCCCCUUUAGCAUCAAACCCUAUUAUGGAAUAACCCAACAAAAACAUAAAAAAUACAUUCAUAGGGAAAACUCAUCCCAAAUAUUAAUUGCAUCAAACCAGAAUUACCAAUCAAGAUAAUCAAGAAUACAUAGUAUACUACACACAAACAUACAAAGGUAAACUUCCCUAUACCUUGGUCAAUCCUAAGGCUUUCUCUAUACCCAAAGAUCUUCUCCAAUGUAGUUGCACUCUCCCCAUUCACUCUCUCUCCUUUCCUCU